Molecule: long non-coding RNA, 1269 nt
Organism: Musca domestica (house fly)
Lineage: Eukaryota; Metazoa; Arthropoda; Insecta; Diptera; Muscidae
Exons: 2
Source: RefSeq, a predicted model, not a curated record
AACCAGACACACCUAUUACCACCUACAUUUAUUGUCAAACGGUUUUUCGCCUAGAGGAAAUAACAUUUCAGCAAUUUUCUAUAUUGUCAAUUUUGACAAAAAAUAUAUUUGACAAUUACAAUUAGUUUUAAAGCAAUGUCGUGGAUAUUUUGAACGUUCAGCAUACUUUCGCUGUACGAUGGUUAUACUAAAACGUGUACCUCAAUUUCAAAGAAUUCGUUUGGAUAGUCAUUCAAAUACAGAAUAUUGAAGGUACAGUUAUAUGAAGACCAUAACAAAACGUAAAUAGACAAUUUAUCAAAAGAGGCGGAAAAGACUGCAAGUGCAAUGUAACCAGCAACAGAGGAAAAUACCCGUUACGAACAUCCAAUAUUUAAUGAAAAAAUAUGGAGAAACAAGGAUAUAGGCCAACUUCCAAUUUAUCCUCCAUGCCAACCAACGACUUCCUUAGUUCGUUUGAACUCUACCGUGACUACAACAGAUGUCAAAUCAACUUAGAAAAUUUCGCAUUAUUUUGAUGAACUGCGAACUUAAAAUACCCUCCAUUAUGUGUGGGAGUGUAUAAAUAAAACAAAUUAAAACUUUUCUCUUCAAAUUGAAAGCACAAAAAAUUUAAACAAACAUUAGAAAACAUCUGAUUGAAAUUUGUCCAGGAAGAAUUUGCAAACUCUCACUAAAAGAACUGUCAAAAUUUCUCUCUCCGAUCGCUCUUUUGCAGAACUUUUGGGUUAACAAACGACUUCCAGUAACAAUUGUUACAAAUCUUAGGGUAACCAGACACACCUAUUACCACCUACAUUUAUUGUCAAACGGUUUUUCGCCUAGAGGAAAUAACAUUUCAGCAAUUUUCUAUAUUGUCAAUUUUGACAAAAAAUAUAUUUGACAAUUACAAUUAGUUUUAAAGCAAUGUCGUGGAUAUUUUGAACGUUCAGCAUACUUUCGCUGUACGAUGGUUAUACUAAAACGUGUACCUCAAUUUCAAAGAAUUCGUUUGGAUAGUCAUUCAAAUACAGAAUAUUGAAGAUAUUUAGUAUUGCACUUAAUUACACAAAACUUAAACCAUAACGCAUAAUAUCUCCUUGUUUAUAUUCCCUCAUAUUGGACUUCAAACGUAACGAAAAAAGGUUAAGCUUUUCAAUUAUACCUAAGAUGGAGAAGUACAUGAGCAAACCACAAAUACCAAAACAAUUUACUAACAUCGGUUCCACUGUAUAACCCCGAAAUAAUAGAUUUUCUUUAAAAUAAAACGAUGUGACAUCUUUUAAAAAG